ACAAUGGGCGCAAGCCUGAUGCAGCCAUGCCGCGUGUAUGUAAGAAGGCCUUCGGGUUGUAAAGUACUUUCAGCAGUGAGGAAGGUGGGUAUGUUAAUAGCAUAUUCAUUUGACGUUAGCUGCAGAAGAAGCACCGGCUAACUCCGUGCCAGCAGCCGCGGUAAUACGGAGGGUGCGAGCGUUAAUCGGAAUUACUGGGCGUAAAGCGCAUGCAGGUGGUUUGUUAAGUCAGAUGUGAAAGCCCGGGGCUCAACCUCGGAAUUGCAUUUGAAACUGGCAAACUAGAGUACUGUAGAGGGGGUAGAAUUUCAGGUGUAGCGGUGAAAUGCGUAGAGAUCUGAAGGAAUACCGGUGGCGAAGGCGGCCCCCUGGACAGAUACUGACACUCAGAUGCGAAAGCGUGGGGAGCAAACAGGAUUAGAUACCCUGGUAG
This 433-nucleotide ribosomal RNA is filed under the name uncultured bacterium. RNAcentral describes it as "bacterial SSU rRNA". It matches the Rfam family "Bacterial small subunit ribosomal RNA", at positions 368 to 793 of the family's 1533-position model. The record is from RNAcentral.